Long non-coding RNA from Tachysurus fulvidraco (yellow catfish), 1206 nucleotides. RefSeq lists it as uncharacterized. Lineage: Eukaryota; Metazoa; Chordata; Actinopteri; Siluriformes; Bagridae. The transcript is spliced from 2 exons. The record is from RefSeq and is a predicted model, not a curated record.
UGGUUUAGUGGAGAAUAUUGAUGCUUAUUGAAUAUGCACAUUUUACCACGCAGACCUCCAUGUGUGAAAUAGAGGCGCUAGAAAUGCGCUAAUGCCAUUGGUCGACUGAACGAUCCGCUAGACGCUUCUUGCAUUCUGAUUGGCUGAGAUCUAUUUCCAUUAUGAAAGCCCACGGGAUCUCCAGCCGUCCAUCAAGAGCUUCAUGAGCUCCUCACACGGUGUGACGGAUUUCAGCAGCCUCACAGAACCGACAUGAACCGAGUGGAAUUUCUCGAAAAGGGGAUUUAAUCGUUAAAUUGUUGCGUUAAUUGCUUUUUUUUUUCGCAGUGUACGUUCAUUGACCACUGUUUUAAUUACAAAGGAAUAUCCUAAUUAUAGGAGAAGAAAGAGAAAGGUAGAUGAACACCGAGCUGCAUCUGCUGCAUGUCCUCCAUCACGGACUUCAAGAGCACCGGUGGGGGCGCAGCUGACCAUGACUUCAUUUCAUUUUUUUGCUUUCUCUGCUGUUAUUCGUGUCUGUAUGUCUUAAGGGGUAAAAAUGGAAAUGACAGCACUAUGUACUAUACCCCCCCCUCCUCCUCCUCCUCCUCCUGUUCUUCCUCCGCUAUGUGGAUUAAUGAUUUUGGUUUCCUGCUCUGCGCUUUGAGCCUCUUUACAAUGCUGCCUUGUGGCAUCGGAAUCAAGCAGCAUUGUACAGGGCUAUGAGAGCACAGAGACCAAAUACAUCACCGUCCUCCGUCCUUCAUCCUCACAGUGUCAAUGUGGCACCGUCUAAUGAGAGAUCAACCACCGGCUCCUUCCCUGAGAUCCGUCCAGAACUGUGCUGCAACCAAGAACAACAACUUCAAGGAAUAAUCUGUUUGGGAUUUUUUUGCUUUGAUGCCACUUUUUCAAUGUAAUCUGUAUUUAAUGCACCAGCAUCCAGCCUGGUUUGUUAUCAUCGUCAGGGAUCAACAUAGAUCCAGGUCUCAGCUUUGUAUUCCAUCUUGUUGGAUUUUGACUGGUUUAUAUGCUGAAGUGUUUAUAUACCUCUUUAGAUGCAGAAUACAGCCUUUUUAAUACAGUCAGUGACCUAUAGACGUAACCAGAUCCUUAUUUUAGUUUGUAAUGUACAUUGUUUUUUUUUUUAUUAUUUAUUUAUUUAUAUUUAUUUAUUUAUUUAUUUUGCUGUCACUUCAGUCAUUAAAAUAUCAUUACAUCAUUUCA